UGCCAGAUAAGAAAUUAAGCCAGUCAAACCCAGCCUUUCAUUAAGGCCAUGUCUACAUAGUAAUUGAUCUAUUGGGGAUCGAUUUAUCGCGUCUCAUCUAGACAUGAUAAAUCAAUCCCCGAAUUGACGCCCGCACUCCACCUCAGCAGAAGCAGUAAGCGGAGUUGACAGGGGAGCCGUGGCGGGCGAUUUGCAGCCGUGAGGACAGCUAGUUACAUGGGUGUGUGCUGUGGGGAAGAUAUCCACAAAGAAAAAGUUUUCAAGCAUGAAAUGGUGGUGCAAAAAAUGGGGAAACUACUGAAUCAUCAAAGACGAAUUGUAGAACGCAAUCGUCACUCCUUAGAAUAGAAAAUAAAAGAGAAGGAAAAGGAAAUGGAGGGAAAAAAACGUCUUUGCUUCCAGUCUGAUCAACAAUUGCAAAAAAUCCAGCAGCUGGAAGCAGAACUAAAAACAGCCAGAGACUUGCUGAAGGAGAGCCAGAAUUACGCUGAAGAGAUGAAAAAUAAGUAUUUAUCUCAGGAAAUAGAAUUGAAAGAGAAACAAGCUGAGAUUACCCAUCUGCAGAAGCUGUCUGCAGCUGAGUUGGCUUCUUUAAAAAAGGAAAUGAUUAAUAUCAAGGCUCAGCAAAAGAAAAUGAAAGAGCAACUUAAUAUCUCACUUCACGAAAAUGAGCAACUGAGCAAGCCUGGAAGCCUCUUUCAACCAGGGAAUGGGACCCAAAAUUUAGGUCACAAUGGAGUGGGAAUUGUGCCUGUCUGUUUAUCAGGUACCCAGCCGCCCCGGAGGAGGAAGAGGCUGGACUGGGGGGAGCUAAAGAGCUCUGAGCCUACCCCGCAAAGGGUCAAGCGCCGACCCGGAAGUAUAAAGGCGGGCCUUCCGAGCUCAGUGGGAGGUCAGCGACCAGAGCGAGCGGACGUCCUUCCGGGAGCUCGGCGCCAGGAGGCUUCUACCCUCCCCCGUGCUCGCUACCCCGAGGAGCUGCCGGAGCUCCCCUGGACCACCGUUCCGGAGGAGUUGCCGGACCUGCCACCCAGCCCCGUCCGAGACGAACCCAUGCACCUGGACCCGGUGGAGGAUGACCCCAGGAUCCAGGUGCUGAUGAGGUUGCCAUCUACGUACAUUCACUGACCCAGGACAAUGAGCCAGAGUAUGAGCCAGACGGACUCCCAGAGGUGGUCAAAAAAGCACCUUUGGACUUGUGUGGAGAAAGCGCUACCUCAGUGACAGUUCCAAGGAGGACCCUUUGACUCAACCGUUGAUGGAGACGUUGGAAUCCGAACCCAAAACCCUUGUUAGGCACCCCGAUGAGUGUGACGGCCUCUCAUUGUUCACCUCCUUAGAGGUGGAAAGCGAUCAUGGCGUACCAAGCUGCCUGCUUUGUCUACUGAAGAGUAUCUCAGUGAAAGUUUUAAUCCUCUGCCAAAGGUUUGGGAUGGAAGCCUUAUUUCUUCUUCCGUAGUAGGAUGCUUUCCCAUACCAGACCGUGAUAACUUUGGCAGGCAUCAUUGCAGUACCCAGGCUAGCAACACGCGGGCAGCUUCAGAACGCCAGCAGCAGCUGUGCUCUCUAUACCGGGGUCGGCAACCUACGGCACGCAUGCAAAAGAGUGGAUUUCUUCAAUAUGAUAUAUUAUUUGCUUCCUUAUCACACACCAGAUCAUUGGGUUCUUGCGAUAGCAUUGAUGCAAACAAAAGAAUUAUUAACAAUUGACCCCUUGUGUGAUGAGAUGAGAUAUGAAAGAACAUGUCUAAGGAAUUGGAGUUUCAGAUACUUCAUCAAACGAUUAACGAGCAACUCCCCAUCUGAUUGGAAGAAUAAAAUUCUUCAGCAUAAUAAACAAAAAGUGAUGGCCACAACUGCGGACCACUCAUCUUAAAGUUUGCAGAAACGUAUUUGUGGCAGAAAGACAUCAAUUCAAUAGAAACAUCACAAGAGGCUAAUGCUGAGUUUAGAAGACAAGUAGCAAUUGUUCUAGUGAAAGAGUCAGAAAGCGUGGAGGACUACUGCAUAUACUGCAACCUUGUCAGUUGUGAAAAGGAAAGUGAGGAUUGCACGAUGGUCCAGUGUGAUUCUUGCAAGAGGUGGGUACAUAUGCCCUGCAUUCCAGAAGGAACAAAUCAUGAAAUCCUCACUGAUGAGGAAAAAGAAUACGAGUGCAAAAAAAAGAACUGAACUAUGUACUAUCAGAAAAAUGACAUCUGUAAAUAGUUGUUGUUAAAAAUGGCUUUGAACAAAAAGCUAACCUUUUAUUUAUAUACCGGAUUACAAUAAAGUUUUUAAAAUUGGAAAAACA
Molecule: long non-coding RNA, 2293 nt
Organism: Mauremys reevesii (Reeves's turtle)
Lineage: Eukaryota; Metazoa; Chordata; Testudines; Geoemydidae
Exons: 15
Source: RefSeq, a predicted model, not a curated record